CUGGAGCUACACCAGCAGCUCUGGGUUCUCAGGCAUUUGAUCUCAGACUGGAACUAAACCAUUGAUUCUACUGCGUCUCCAGCUGGCUGAGUCACCUUGCAGAUCUUGGGACUUAUUCGCCUCCAUAAUCACGAAAUGAAGAAGAAUAAGCAAUCUGCCAUCAGAGAGAAGCGUCGAUUGACAAGAAUGCAAAGACACAGUAGGUGUAUGAUGUAGAAUACGUCCCUUGCCCUCUCUUGGCCUCAAUUUCUUCACAUGUGGUGGGAAGUAAUUUAAAGAAAACGGCAUAGAAUUUGACUUUAUUAUAACCGGAUGUGCACUCCCUUGAAUAAGUCCAAAGUCCGCUGGUUGAAAAAUGAUGAUCCAGCCAGCCACCAUCUUGUGAGCUGGCCUGUGAAAAACCCACAUGACAAGGAACAGUUGUCUCUGGAAAACAGCCAGCCCUGUUAACAGCUAUGUCAAUGAACUUGGAAGACGACACUCUCCAAGUUGUGCCUUGAGAUGGUGCCUCCCCUGCUGACACCUUGAUUAAAGUCUUGUGAGACAUCUUGAGCCAGUAUUUUAUAGAUUCAACAAGAAGACAAUAAUGAGGAGUAAAGAGAGAGUGACAACUGAGAUGCUACAACAUGACAUGAUUCUUUCUAAUGGUGUUCUUCUAGUCAGACAAAAGACAAGGAUUUCUGGAGAAAUGCUUUAAAGUAUUUAUAGAAAAUCAAUAUGUAUAUGAUUGUCUAGACUUGACUACUCAUGUGAAAACAGGAAUUUUAAUACAUUUUGAUUUUGUAUUAAUAAAAUCCGUAUUUCCAUGGCUAAAUAUGCUAUUUUAAAAUGUUAAAGAUAUAAAAU
Molecule: long non-coding RNA, 846 nt
Filed under: Equus caballus (horse)
Lineage: Eukaryota; Metazoa; Chordata; Mammalia; Perissodactyla; Equidae
Description: lncRNA (ENSECAG00000049201.1)
Source: RNAcentral